GGGCAUGUAGCUCAGUGGUAGAGUAUGCGCUUCGCAGGUUUAUUUUGUGAUUCUGCGUGUGGCCAUCGGUUCGACUCCGGUCUUGUCCA
Non-coding RNA from Jaminaea rosea, 89 nucleotides. The record is from the annotation of a RefSeq genome assembly. NCBI's taxonomy places the organism in Eukaryota, Fungi, Basidiomycota, Exobasidiomycetes, Microstromatales.